Molecule: long non-coding RNA, 363 nt
Organism: Cheilinus undulatus (humphead wrasse)
Lineage: Eukaryota; Metazoa; Chordata; Actinopteri; Labriformes; Labridae
Exons: 3
Source: RefSeq, a predicted model, not a curated record
UGUUAUAGAAGAGAGUGGAACGGAUGGUGCAGUUCUCAAACACCGUGUCUGUGGACUUGAUGUCCUCAAAGUGACAGUCUUCAAACAUAAGACGUUGAUGUGGGACAACACCAGAGUACCCGGAGAGAACACACCCAUACACGGGGAGAACAUGCAAACUCUGCACAGAAAGGACCUGACCAGGAAGUGAAGCAUGGACCUUCUUGCGGAGCAACAGGACUAACCCCUGUGCCACCGUGCAGCCCUACUUUUACUGUACUUCAGUAAAUUUUAACCCUGCAUUACCCAAUGCCAGAGAGCAGUCUGAAGAAGAGGAAGAAGCCAUAGCCCUGAGCGAACGAUGACAGGAAGGCAAAGACACAG